UUAAUUUAAUAAGGGCGCAUGGCGGAUGCCUUGGCAUUAGAAGACGAUGAAGGACGCGACAAACAGCGAUAUGCUUCGGGGAGCAGUAAGUACGCUUCGAUCCGGAGAUCUCCGAAUGAGGAAACUCACUAGUGGUAAUGCACUAGUAUCAUUAACUGAAUACAUAGGUUAAUGAGGACAACCCAGUGAACUGAAACAUCUUAGUAACUGGAGGAAAAGAAAGAAAAAUCGAUUACCUUAGUAGUGGCGAGCGAAACGGUAACAGCCCAAACCAGUCUUAGGACUGGGGUUGUAGGACACUAAGCAUGGAGUUACAAAAUUAUACUAUAGUUGAAGCUUCUGGAAAGAAGUCCCAUAGUAGGUGAUAGGCCUGUAAACGAAAUGGUGUAAUCUCCUUAGUGUAUCCUGAGUAAGUCGGGACACGUGAAAUCUUGACUGAAUCUGCGGGGACCAUCCCGUAAGGCUAAAUACUCUCUAAUGACCGAUAGUGAACAAGUACCGUGAGGGAAAGGUGAAAAGAACCCCGGAAGGGGAGUGAAAUAGAAUACUGAAACCGUGUGCUUACAAAAAGUUCGAGCCCGUUAAUGGGUGAGAGCGUGCCUUUUGCAGAAUGAACCGGCGAGUUAUGGUAUCGUGCAAGGUUAAGCGGAAAACGUGGAGCCGAAGCGAAAGCGAGUCUUAAUAGGGCGCGAGUACGAUGCUAUAGACCCGAAACCAAGCGAUCUAUUCAUGAGCAGGUUGAAGUAAGGGUGAAACCUUAUGGAGGACCGAACCAACUUCUGAUGCAAUAGGAGUGGAUGACUUGUGAAUAGCGGAGAAAUUCCAGUCGAGCUUGGAAAUAGCUGGUUCUCCCCGAAAUAGGUUUAGGCCUAGCCUUCUAAUUAGCUACCUGGAGGUAAAGCACUGAAUAUGGAAGGGCCGCACCUAGCGGUACUAACUGUAAUCAAACUCUGAAUGCCAGGAUAGUAUGUAGAGGAGUCAGUGUAUGGGUGAUAACGUCCAUACGCGAAAGGAAAUGAAUCCAGACCGUCAGUUAAGGUCCCAAAAUUUAUGCUAAGUGGAAAACGAUGUGGAGCUGCUAGAACAGCUAGGAGGUUGGCUCAGAAGCAGCCACCCUUUAAAGAGUGCGUAAUAGCUCACUAGUCGAGUGGCUCUGCGCGGAAUAUGUACCGGGGCUAAGCAUAAUACCGAAACUGCGGAUUCGUAAUUUAUUACGAAUGGUAGGGGAGCGUUCUAUGGGCGCUGAAGGUAGACCGUGAGGACUACUGGAGCGCAUAGAAGUGAGAAUGCCGGUGUGAGUAACGUAAGGAGGGUGAGAAUCCCUCCCACCGAUCGACUAAGGUUUCCUGGGUAAAGUUCGUCUCCCCAGGGUAAGUCGGGACCUAAGGCGAGGCCGAAAGGCGUAGUCGAUGGACAACAGGUUUAUAUUCCUGUACCACCUAUAUGACUGAUGGAGUGACGGAGAAAGCUAAGCAGGGCCGGUUAUUGGAUUCCGGUCUAAGCACAAAGGUAGAUGAAAUAAGAAAAUCUGUUCAUUGUUAUGCUGAAGUGUGAUGGCGACGAAUUCCUCGGAAUUUUAAGUCUGCUGACGCUAUGCUUCCAAGAAAAGCUUCUAAAGAUAUUAUAUAGGUGCCCGUACCAAGAACCGACACAGGUGGUCAAGGAGAGUAUCCUAAGGUGAGCGAGAGAACUAUGGUUAAGGAACUCGGCAAAAUAACCCCGUAACUUCGGGAGAAGGGGAGGUUUCUUCGGAAACCCGCAGGAAAUAGGUCCAGGCAACUGUUUAGCAAAAACACAGGUCUCUGCUAAAGCGUAAGCUGAUGUAUAGGGGCUGACGCCUGCCCAGUGCUGGAAGGUUAAGAGGAGAUGUUAGCUGGACGUAAGUCAAUAACAGCAAAGCUUCGAAUUGAAGCCCCAGUGAACGGCGGCCGUAACUAUAACGGUCCUAAGGUAGCGAAAUUCCUUGUCAGGUAAGUUCUGACCCGCACGAAAGGCGUAAUGAUCUGGAUACUGUCUCAACCAUAGACUCGGUGAAAUCUUAAUACCUGUGAAAAUGCAGGUUACCCGCGACAGGACGGAAAGACCCCAUGGAGCUUUACUGUAGCUUGAUAUUGGAUCUUGAUGUGUUAUGUAGAGGAUAGGUGGGAGACUAUGAUGUUAGGACGCUAGUUCUAACGGAGUCAACCUUGGAAUACCACCCUUAACAUGUUGAGAUUCUAACCUCGACCCAUUAUCUGGGUCAGGGACAGUGUCUGGUGGGCAGUUUGACUGGGGCGGUCGCCUCCCAAAAAGUAACGGAGGCGCUCAAAGGUUCCCUCAGAAUGGUUGGAAAUCAUUCGAAGAGCGUAAUGGUAUAAGGGAGCUUUACUGCGAGACCUACAAGUCAAGCAGUUACGAAAGUAGGACAUAGUGGGCCGGCGAUUCAGAAUGGAAUGGUCGUCGCUUAACGGAUAAAAGUUACCCUGGGGAUAACAGGCUGAUACCACCCAAUAGUUCACAUAGACGGUGGUGAUUGGCACCUCGAUGUCGGCUCGUCACAUCCUGGAGCUGGAUUCGGUUCCAAGGGUUGGGCUGUUCGCCCAUUAAAGUGGCACGCGAGCUGGGUUCAGAACGUCGUGAGACAGUUCGGUCCCUAUCCGUCGUGGGCGCAGGAAAAUUGAGAAGAGCUAUCCUUAGUACGAGAGGACCGGGAUGGACAUACCUCUGGUGUAUCUGUUGUAACGCCAGUUGCAGUGCAGAGUAGCUAUGUAUGGAAUCGAUAACCGCUGAAAGCAUCUAAGCGGGAAGCGAACUUCAAGAUGAAUUUUCCCAUAUUUUUAUAAUAGUAAGAUCCCUGAAAGACUAUCAGGUUGAUAGGCUGGAGAUGGAAGUGUAGUGAUACAUUGAGUUGACCAGUACUAAUAGAUCGAGGAUUUAACCAU
This 2921-nucleotide ribosomal RNA is filed under the name human gut metagenome. RNAcentral's name for it is "bacterial LSU rRNA". It matches the Rfam family "Bacterial large subunit ribosomal RNA". The record is from RNAcentral.